This 253-nucleotide ribosomal RNA is filed under the name uncultured bacterium. RNAcentral's name for it is "partial 16S ribosomal RNA". It matches the Rfam family "Bacterial small subunit ribosomal RNA", at positions 524 to 776 of the family's 1533-position model. The record is from RNAcentral.
UACGUAGGGUCCGAGCGUUGUCCGGAAUUAUUGGGCGUAAAGAGCUCGUAGGUGGUUUGUCGCGUUGUCCGUGAAAACUCACAGCUCAACUGUGGGCGUGCGGGCGAUACGGGCAGACUGGAGUACUGCAGGGGAGACUGGAAUUCCUGGUGUAGCGGUGGAAUGCGCAGAUAUCAGGAGGAACACCGGUGGCGAAGGCGGGUCUCUGGGCAGUAACUGACGCUGAGGAGCGAAAGCGUGGGGAGCGAACAGG